UGUGAAAAGUGGGAUGGAGAU
RNAcentral lists this microRNA (21 nucleotides) under Marchantia polymorpha subsp. ruderalis. The record is from RNAcentral. Lineage: Eukaryota; Viridiplantae; Streptophyta; Marchantiopsida; Marchantiales; Marchantiaceae.